This 551-nucleotide ribosomal RNA is filed under the name Salmonella enterica subsp. enterica serovar Oslo. Its description in RNAcentral is "partial 23S ribosomal RNA". It matches the Rfam family "Bacterial large subunit ribosomal RNA", at positions 1378 to 1912 of the family's 2925-position model. The record is from RNAcentral. Lineage: Bacteria; Pseudomonadati; Pseudomonadota; Gammaproteobacteria; Enterobacterales; Enterobacteriaceae.
GGUGAGUCGACCCCUAAGGCGAGGCCGAAAGGCGUAGUCGAUGGGAAACGGGUUAAUAUUCCCGUACUUGGUGUUACUGCGAAGGGGGGACGGAGAAGGCUAUGUUGGCCGGGCGACGGUUGUCCCGGUUUAAGCGUGUAGGUGUGUGUUCCAGGUAAAUCCGGUUCACUUUAACACUGAGGCGUGACGACGAGGCACUACGGUGCUGAAGCAACAAAUGCCCUGCUUCCAGGAAAAGCCUCUAAGCAUCAGGUAACAUCAAAUCGUACCCCAAACCGACACAGGUGGUCAGGUAGAGAAUACCAAGGCGCUUGAGAGAACUCGGGUGAAGGAACUAGGCAAAAUGGUGCCGUAACUUCGGGAGAAGGCACGCUGACACGUAGGUGAAGUGAUUUACUCAUGGAGCUGAAGUCAGUCGAAGAUACCAGCUGGCUGCAACUGUUUAUUAAAAACACAGCACUGUGCAAACACGAAAGUGGACGUAUACGGUGUGACGCCUGCCCGGUGCCGGAAGGUUAAUUGAUGGGGUCAGCGCAAGCGAAGCUCCUGAU